Molecule: small nuclear RNA, 138 nt
Filed under: Corchorus olitorius
Lineage: Eukaryota; Viridiplantae; Streptophyta; Magnoliopsida; Malvales; Malvaceae
Description: U2 spliceosomal RNA
Rfam family: U2 spliceosomal RNA
About the family: U2 is a small nuclear RNA (snRNA) component of the spliceosome (involved in pre-mRNA splicing). Complementary binding between U2 snRNA (in an area lying towards the 5' end but 3' to hairpin I) and the branchpoint sequence (BPS) of the intron results the bulging out of an unpaired adenosine, on the BPS, which initiates a nucleophilic attack at the intronic 5' splice site, thus starting the first of two transesterification reactions that mediate splicing.
Source: Rfam by way of RNAcentral
AUACCAUUCUCGGCCUUUUAGUUAAGAUCAAGUGUAAUAUCUAUUCUUAUUAGUGUAAUAUCACCUGAGCCUACGGGUUCAAGAGGUAAGCUUAUAUGUUUGCCCUGAUAUUAAUUGUUUAAAGGGGAGAGACCCAUG